Molecule: ribosomal RNA, 80 nt
Filed under: Acanthosepion pharaonis
Lineage: Eukaryota; Metazoa; Mollusca; Cephalopoda; Sepiida; Sepiidae
Source: RNAcentral
CGUACGAUCACCGAUGUUAAGCAACGUCGGGCCUGGUCAGUACCUAGAUGGGUGACCGCUUGGAAAUACAAGGUGCUAUA